Molecule: ribosomal RNA, 483 nt
Filed under: uncultured bacterium
Lineage: Bacteria
Description: partial 16S ribosomal RNA
Rfam family: Bacterial small subunit ribosomal RNA
Source: RNAcentral
AAUCAACGCUGGCGGCGUGCCUCAGACAUGCAAGUCGAACGAUUAAAGCUCUCUUCGGAGAGUGCAUAAAGUGGCGCACGGGUGAGUAACACGUAAGUAAUCUACCUUCGAGUGAGGAAUAACGUCCGGAAACGGACGCUAAUACCGCAUAAUGCAGCGGCACCUAAUGGUGACAGUUGUUAAAGAAUUUAUUCGCUUGAAGAGGAGCUUGCGGCAGAUUAGCUAGUUGGUAAGGUAAUGGCUUACCAAGGCUUCGAUCUGUAACCGGUCUAAGAGGACGGUCGGUCACACUGACACUGAAUAACGGGUCAGACUCCUACGGGAGGCAGCAGUCGGGAAUUUUGGGCAAUGGGCGAAAGCCUGACCCAGCAACGCCGCGUGAAGGAUGAAGGCCUUAGGGUUGUAAAGAUCUUUCAGUGGGGAAGAUAAUGACUGUACCCACAGAAGAAGCCCCGGCUAACUCCGUGCCAGCCGCCGCUGUAA